This 249-nucleotide ribosomal RNA is filed under the name Triticum aestivum (bread wheat). RNAcentral's name for it is "partial small subunit ribosomal RNA". The record is from RNAcentral. Lineage: Eukaryota; Viridiplantae; Streptophyta; Magnoliopsida; Poales; Poaceae.
AUGUUCCGCGUUCGGCUAGAGAAUGACACCAUCAUCCUAGGCUAUAUUUCAGGAAAGAUACGGUCUAGUUCUAUACGAAUACUGAUGGGGGAUAGGGUCAAAAUUGAAGUAAGUCGUUAUGAUUCAAGCAAGCGACGUAUAAUUUAUAGACUUCCCCAUAAGGAUUCGAAGCGUAUUGAAGACUCGAAGGAUAGUGAAGAUUUGAAGGAUAGCGAAGAUUUGAAGGAUACCAAAGAUUCAAAGGAUUAG